RNAcentral lists this ribosomal RNA (394 nucleotides) under uncultured bacterium. Its description in RNAcentral is "partial 16S ribosomal RNA". It matches the Rfam family "Bacterial small subunit ribosomal RNA", at positions 523 to 918 of the family's 1533-position model. The record is from RNAcentral.
AUACGGAGGAUGCAAGCGUUAUCCGGAUUUAUUGGGUUUAAAGGGUGCGUAGGCGGACAGUCAAGCAGGGGGUGAAAUGCCGGCGCUCAACGCCGGAGCUGCCUUCUGAACUGGCUGUCUGGAGUGGCAGUGCCGUUGGAGGAAUGAGUGGUGUAGCGGUGAAAUGCUUAGAUAUCACUCAGAACACCGAUUGCGAAGGCAUCUGGCGAACUGCCCACAGACGCUGAGGCACGAAAGCGUGGGGAUCAAACAGGAUUAGAUACCCUGGUAGUCCACGCAGUAAACGAUGAUGACUAACUGCCGGCCCGUUGCGGGUCGGUGGCCAAGCGAAAGCGAUAAGUCAUCCAUCUGGGGAGUACGACCGCAAGGUUGAAACUCAAAGGAAUUGACGGGG